RNAcentral lists this transfer RNA (70 nucleotides) under Camelus ferus (Wild Bactrian camel). It matches the Rfam family "tRNA". From Rfam's summary of the family: Transfer RNA (tRNA) molecules are approximately 80 nucleotides in length. Their secondary structure includes four short double-helical elements and three loops (D, anti-codon, and T loops). Lineage: Eukaryota; Metazoa; Chordata; Mammalia; Artiodactyla; Camelidae. The record is from Rfam by way of RNAcentral.
GAGGAUCGCUCAAUGGUAGGGUGCACGCUUAGCAUGCAUGAGGUCCUGGGUUCAAUCCCCAGGGCCCUCU